AUGGUGGCUGUGGCCGUUCCGUCCUCCGUCCGCUCCCGCUCCGUCAUGAGAGGAGAUAGAGCCCUGAAACAAAGAAAAAACUAUUCAAGGGCCAUGCCACCCAGUCAUCACCAACUGCACAGCUCUUCGGGAACUGCAAGCGGGGAGGGUGCAUCGACUUCCCAAUGUGUCGGCGCAACAAGACUGGUGGGAAAAAGGUCUUGUCUUCAUCCCGGAGAUGUUCAUGUCCAGAUAAACUCCGUACCGAAAGAAUAUGUUGAAAAGCCAAGCUCCGGAAAUAUGAGGUCAGGUGUCCACAGCUGGACUCGUGAAUGCGUACACAGUGCAUUCCGGAGUCCCUCCCACAGUGAAGCAGACAGCCUGGUGACGCUGCCGCCCAGGCUUGAAGACCUGGAGGUGGCUCCUGCUCAGAAUUCCGUCAUCUUUUCAAGUGGUUGUAAAAAUGCCUUCCAUAUUCUGAUUCUGGGUGUCAAACUUGUUCCCCAGCAUAUAACAGGGAUUUCUCUUGGAAGCGGGCCCCUAACAACUUUUAGGUAUGCAAACAAAAGCAUUGUAAAUCAGUUUUUUCUGAGAAUUUACUGAGAUAUCAUAAAUAAAAUUCAUCCAUUUCAAACUCGCGCAACUACAAGUCAUCUGAUUCUGGACAAAAAGUAUAUAUAUAUGUUGGAGAAAAAUCAGCAUCUUUAACAAACAGUGCUGGGAAAACUGGAUACCUACUUGUAGAUGACUGAAACUGGAUCCC
RNAcentral lists this long non-coding RNA (742 nucleotides) under Fukomys damarensis (Damara mole-rat). Its description in RNAcentral is "lncRNA (ENSFDAG00000024709.1)". The record is from RNAcentral. Lineage: Eukaryota; Metazoa; Chordata; Mammalia; Rodentia; Bathyergidae.